AGCAGCCGCGGUAAUUCCAGCUCCAAUAGCGUAUAUUAAAGUUGUUGCAGUUAAAAAGCUCGUAGUUGAAUUUCGGGAUCAAUAUGUUGGUCGUGCCUCGGUACGUACUAGCUUAUUGGUUUCUCCUUUCUGAAGAACCAUGAUGUCAUUUAUUUGGUGUCGUGGGGAAUCAGGACUGUUACUUUGAAAAAAUUAGAGUGUUUAAAGCAGGCUCACGCUUGAAUACAUUAGCAUGGAAUAAUGAAAUAGGACGUUUGAUUCUAUUUUGUUGGUUUCUAGGAUCGACGUAAUGAUUAAUAGGGAUAGUCGGGGGCAUUAGUAUUCAAUUGUCAGAGGUGAAAUUCUUGGAUUUAUUGAAGACUAACUACUGCGAAAGCAUUUGCCAAGGAUGUUUUCAUUGAUCAAGAACGAAAGUUAGGGGAUCGAAGACGAUCAGAUACCGUCGUAGUCUUAACCAUAAACUAUGCCGACUAGGGAUCGGAUGAUGUUAAUUUCUUAAUGACUCACUCGGCCG
This 514-nucleotide unclassified non-coding RNA is filed under the name uncultured Glomus. RNAcentral describes it as "SSU rRNA". It matches the Rfam family "Eukaryotic small subunit ribosomal RNA", at positions 569 to 1086 of the family's 1831-position model. Lineage: Eukaryota; Fungi; Glomeromycota; Glomeromycetes; Glomerales; Glomeraceae. The record is from RNAcentral.